RNAcentral lists this long non-coding RNA (1132 nucleotides) under Gossypium raimondii (Peruvian cotton). Its description in RNAcentral is "long non-coding RNA (GRAI_LNC010163)". The record is from RNAcentral. Lineage: Eukaryota; Viridiplantae; Streptophyta; Magnoliopsida; Malvales; Malvaceae.
UUAUCCAAACCGGUCAAGCACUGCGCAGCAACAUGGAUUGAACUAAAAACAACAUUAAAAUAUAUUGCCUAAUUUAAAAAUAUAAAAAAAAACUGAUAUAAUCACCCAAAAAAAACAAAGGACUAAUAAUGCAAAUGGCCCAUUUUGAACCCAUUUUAAAACCCAAAACUCAUUCCCUUUGUCUGUCAUUUUUGAGUUUGCCGCAGCCCCCUUUCCACCAUUUCAGACCCAUCUCCGAUCAACUACAACGACCAUGACGGCACCACGACGGAGCGCUACCGCUGGUAAGAACCCCUCUCCCUCUUCUUUGCUUCGCUUUCGUUUUAAAAACGAGGAAAGAAAGCAGAAGAAAAAAAAAAGAACAAAAAAGAAAUAAAAGGAACAAAACGGUCAAAAGAAAAGAAAAAUAGGGUUGACUAAUUACCUUCAAGAAAUUGUUUUUGAUUCUCUUUCAAUUUUCCUUUACAAAAUUUCUCCCCUUUCCCUAUCUCUUUUUUUUUUCUUUAAUUUUCCCCCUUUCAAUCCUGAAAAACUCCCUUCUCUCAAAAAACAGUUUUCACUUCCCUCCUUUUUACAAUCAGUUGUUUUCUUUUAAUAUAUUUGUUAUCCUUCUGUUCCUUGUGCUAUUCGUGGUUCGUGGCUUAUUUGCAGGAUGAACGUGCACGGCGCUAGGGGAAACGGCAGUUAUUGCGACGUGGGAGUGUGUACAGCGCUGGUCUGCUGCUUGCUGUUGGAGUUUGCUGUUUUUAUUUUUUGGGGGCUGUACAGUGUUAUUAGUUUGGGCCUUAUUGGGCCUCGUUUUUAAUUGGGUUUGGUUGUAAUUUGGGUUUUGGGUCAAUUUUAGUGAGUAUAGUUGGGCCCGGGCAAUAAUUGGGUAUUAUAGCAUUCAAGCUAUUCAAAUCAUCAACCAAGUCAUUUCCUUAUUCAAAACAUACCAUUUGCACUUUCAAACAAACCAUUCAAGCACUAUACAUAUGGUCUCACAAUAUGAUCAAAACAUACCUUAAAACACACACAUAUAUAUACAUAUACAUUAACAUAUCUUACUUCACAACCUAACCAAGUUCAAACUAAGCUAAUAGAUACAAUUUAACACACCUAUAACACCUCUAUACGUGCCAUAAAACCAAGC